RNAcentral lists this long non-coding RNA (1588 nucleotides) under Nicotiana tabacum (common tobacco). RNAcentral's name for it is "long non-coding RNA (NTAB_LNC000085)". Lineage: Eukaryota; Viridiplantae; Streptophyta; Magnoliopsida; Solanales; Solanaceae. The record is from RNAcentral.
UCUGGUAUCUACCAUUAAUCACUGAUAUUUUGGAUUUGAUUGUGAUCUAUAUAUAUGAUUUAUGCCUUUUGUCUUUGUCCUUGCUUGUGUAACUUUUGAUCAACCGUUGCAGGAUGUUAAAUGUCCAGGCUGCUUCCAAAUGUAAGUUCCUGAAAAAGAGCGGUUAAAUUCCUCGUGUUAUAAGUUUCCAUGUAGUAGUAAGGUACUAAUAAUCGAUCCAACUUUUACAGAACAACAAUUUUCAGCCACUCGCAAACCGUGGUUACAUGCCCCAACUGCCAGCAAGUGCUCUGCCAGCCAACUGGUGGACGCACAAAACUUACUGAGGGAUGCUCUUUUAGGGUUAAAGAGAAGGCUAUGAUGGUCGUGGGUUGAUAUUUGCUAGAGGUUCUGGUUAAGCUGUGACAUUAUAAAUUAGGUUUUUGAAGAAUGAGUUGGUUAAGAGAACUUUUCCUUUGCUCGGUAGUACUUUUUUGUUUUGAGUUCUGACUUUGAUGAAUACUUUGGCAAUCAUAUUACUCUUACCACAUUUUGAAGUACUUAAUCUUCUUCCUGAUCUUGAUUUUAACAUUACUUAAUCUUCUUCCUGAUCUUGAUUUUAACAUUUUUCAGAAGAUACUCCAUGUUUGUUUGUGCUUUUAUGUUUUUGGUAUUCAUGUUUAAUGCUAGAAAUAUGCCCUGUUUUGAAUUUGAAGCGCAUGGCUGUUCCUUUGGAUAAAAUUAAGUCGAGUAACUUGCUUUGAGUCUCUAUUGCAAGAUAAACACGACGUUUAUACUCUACUUUUGACUGGUGCAAUGUGCCAUGAAAAUUGCUUGAAUCCGUCAGGAGCUUGACUCACUCAAUCCAAGCCUCAGAAUGUUUCUAGCUAUGUUUGGUAAACCUUUUUGGGAUGUUAUGUGUACUUAUAAACUAACCGCAACUUUAUGGUAUCGAGUAUAACUGAAUAAAGAAGUAUGUACAGGAGAUUAAUGAAUUCUUGUGUGAUUGAAGCUGUGUAACGUCUAUUUGUUCAAGUUACUGGUUUUAACCUGGACAGUUUCCAGGAAUAUUUGUAAGCGCCACUAGUUUUAUAGUAACGCAGUAAGGCAACAUGACACACUGUUUAAAGAGUAUUUUAACACAACAUUAACAUACAUUACAUAUAAAAUGGGACUUCAAAUCCAGCUGAACAGUGCAAAAGGGGCAUGAAAAAACAGUAAAAGAAAAGACCUGGAAGAAAGGCAUCACCUUCCCUUUGCCUUUAUGACUUGCCUGUGAGUUCUUCGCAUCCACUCAGAUCAGAUGCAGUGAAGGCUAAUAGUCUACACAGAAUGGUUUGAAGUCACCUUCACUAUCAUCCCAUCCUUGGUUUUUAUCAAAUACUUCUUUCUCUUCUUUCUCCACAUCUUUUUGUGCUUCUUUCUCUUCUUUUUGCAUUUCUUUUGAGUCUCAGAGUCCAAGAUAUAUUGACAGUGGAAGCCAAGACUUUCUCACCAUAAUAAAGAAACGACAAAUCUGGAGGGUCCUCCCUCUUAGCAAAUUGUUACUAAAGACAAGGAGACCUAUUCACUCUCCAUGUGUGGAGAAAAAGCAAAAGAUUAAACAAAA